AAUAUAAAACAUAAUUUUAAUCAGCAACAACUACACCAAAAUUCACUCACCUUGCAAGGCGCUCUGCGUAGUCCUAGUGCUUGGGGAAGCCUCUUAUAUAGCUGUUACUCUUACAUUACUGUUUACUCAGCAAAAGUAUCAAGCUAUGUUUGGUAAUGGAUUCUUGCUCUAAGUAUCCCUAAUUGGAAAUCAUCACAAUGUGCUCAUGUAUCAUAUCACAUUCUAUGAAAUUUAGUUUUCUUAUAGCUUGGUCACUGCAGUAGCUGAUUAAUUAAACUUCUAACCAAAACAGUUGAGAUAUUUCAAAACAAAAUGUAACACAAUAUUCUUCAAAUAGUAUUAUAUCUCUUAAAGAAUUUCUUUAGUUCUUUUCAAUUAAUUUUUAAAUACAUUUAUGGCUUUUGGGGAUUUUUUACAAUGAAAAUGAUUGAAUAUUUCAAUAUUUGAAUCCAACCCUAAAUGUGUGGCAGCUAAAUGAUUUAAUGGGUAAUUCACUUAAUAUAAUUUAUAAGAUUAUUUCCUCUGCAAGUGAUCCUAAAUUCAUAAGAAAAGUAUUUUUUUGAAAGUGUUGUGGCACUUAAAAAACUAAAUUAAAUUUGUAGAACAUGUUAUUAGUGUUUUGUUACAUGUUCAUUGCAAUUUUUUCAUUCUAUACCUUUUCAAUCCAAAUGAUUAAUUUCAUUUAUGUUUAAUUUAUGUUCUAUUUUUUGACAAGAAACAAACCCAGGCCUUUUGGGAAUCAAAGUGUAAAUAUCAAAUAUCCUUUCUAAAAUGCUAUAAAAAAAAUACCAGGUCGAAUUCAUCUUUUUAAAACUUAAACAAUUAAACUAGAAGCAGCAUAUAAUACAUCAUUUAUGUCAUCUGCUCUCUUAUCUGAGAUGCCCACAGAUACAUCAUUUUAAUUACAGGGUUUUAAUUUCCUAAUCAAGUUAAUUAAUUUACAUAUAUACAAAACCUGAAACCUAGACUAAUGCUACCAAAAUAGUGAUAAGUCCAGCUGAGCAGAAUGCAAGCAGAGAAUCAAAUGAAAAUAAAACCAUUGAUUUAUUCCUAGUGCCAGUUUCUAAACUGUAUUUCAAAAUGAAAAGUAAUAUGCUUUGGCAGAUGCAAUAAAAACUGAGAUGGCAAUGCCUGCCAUAUUCUAGAUUCAUAAAUUGAAAUUGAAACACAAUAUCACAGCAUAAUAUUCUUAUUAGGAAUCAGUGCAAAUAUAGAAGCUGUCUCUCAGGGGUCAAGGCUUUUAGUCCACUUAUGAAGGCAGUAUAAAAGAGUUUAUCCAGGUCCCCAAAGGGUUUUCCACACAUUUAUAAAGGGCAGUCUCUAAAGUAUUUAGGUGGAAAUGUACAAGUUGAGAGGUGUGUCAAAACGUAACUUGGAAUCACCUCAAUUUCACAGCUUUUGGUUCUCUUCACAUGGACUCAGUAUUGUCAGUAUACUCUCUUGGAUUGGUAACCAAAAAACCUUUCUGUGAAGUGUCUCUGCUCUUGGCUCUCAGCUUGUUGACCUGGGACUCAGCGAUGUCAGCACGCUCCUGAGCUUCCUCCAUCUCAUGCUGCACCUUCCUGAACCUGGACAGAUCUUGGCUGUCUUGACAUGGCUCAACAAUGUCAACAUGCUUUCUUAGAAUGGUAACCCAAAGCAUAUUGCUGCAUCUGGACAGACAAAGAACUUGAUGAGAAGAAAUGGCACCUGGCAAUAACCGAGUACCAUGUAGAGGAGGAGGGGCUCCCCUUUGAGUCUCGACUCCUCUCAAGCUUGUUCACCUGGGACUCAGCGAUGUCAGCGCGCUCCUGAGCUUCCUCCAUCUCAUGCUGCACCUUCCUGAACCUGGACAGGUGAGUGUUGGC
Electrophorus electricus (electric eel) is the source of this 1847-nucleotide non-coding RNA. The record is from RefSeq and is a predicted model, not a curated record. NCBI's taxonomy places the organism in Eukaryota, Metazoa, Chordata, Actinopteri, Gymnotiformes, Gymnotidae.